GUGCCUGAUGAGCUGUGCCCCAGAGGGACUCCCUCACAGCCAGAGCAAGCGUCCCCAAGAUGAUGUCCCAUGGGGCCCCGGGCUCUUAAAGAAAUACGUGGAAGAUCAGGAGCCUCUCAAACAGAGAGGUGGGCUUUGAGAUGGGCAGUGAGAUGAUCCACCUCUGCGCGGAAAGUUCUCUCUGAGUGCAGUGUGGAGCGAGCAAGGGAGGAGGCCGUGAGAAGCCAGCAGGUGCCGGAGCUGUCAAGGGGAGCUGGGGUCAGGCAGGAACCGGGGGGGCAGAGAAGGGGUGGGGCCCAGGGCCUAUGGGGAGGGCAAACAGCAAGGAGUCCCAGAUGGAUUCAAGGCCUGUCGUCUGCUCACUCAGCCCCCAGGAGUGGCCCCAGGUGCCCAGGGCAGGACAAGGAGGAGAUAGACCCAUCCCCACCACUGCAAAGAGUAGCGCAAAGGACUAGACACCUGCUUUUGGGGGGCCCGCGCAGGGUGCAGUGGGAUCCUGUGAUGGCCCGAGAUGGGAUGAUGCUGGUCUUUGCAACCGUGAUCAAGUCAAGAUGAGGUCCUAUGAUUGGGAGGCGUCCGAAUCCAAUGACGGGCGUCCUUCUGAGAAGAAGCAAACUGGGACACAGACAUACGCAGAAGGGACACUUCUACGUGAAGAUGGAGGCAGAGACGGCAGUGAUGUAUCUAGAAACAGAGGAAGCCGGAGGGGUGCCGCCUGAAGCCAGGAGCUGGGCAUGGAGCUGGUUCCCCCUGGAACAUCGGAGGGAACGUGGUCCUGCUGACACGGACACGUCAAGUUCACACUUCCAGCCUCCAGAGCUAAGCAGCCAGACGGGCAAAACCCAGAGACACCCAAUGCUGGACUCUCAGCUCCUUCCCUGGCCUCUCUGGCUCCCUCUGGACCCUGCAGAACAUUCUGGAGCAUCUUCUCACAUCUGCAGACCCCUGCAGCCUGUCUUGUGGUUGCAAAGACACCAGGGAGAAGCUGCUCUAGUGGGUACUCGCUCUGCAAGGAGCUGGCUGCACAAGGGCUGCUCAGUAAAGUGAGAUGAUAAGAGUCAAGGGAGAUGAUCCCAAGGAAAAGGGCCCAGGGUCCUAGUGGACCCCCAGCUAAACACGACCAAGUGAUAAACAGGUCUUGAGAUUUGAUGGAUGAACAAUUCUAUCCUAGUGAUUAGGUGAGAAGCCAAGUGUACCAUUUUGAA
Long non-coding RNA from Mustela lutreola (European mink), 1205 nucleotides. RefSeq lists it as uncharacterized. Lineage: Eukaryota; Metazoa; Chordata; Mammalia; Carnivora; Mustelidae. The transcript has 3 exons. The record is from RefSeq and is a predicted model, not a curated record.